GAUGAACGCUGGCGGCGUGCUUAACACAUGCAAGUCGAACGGGAAAUAUUUCAUUGAGACUUCGGUGGAUUUGAUCUAUUUCUAGUGGCGGACGGGUGAGUAACGCGUGGGUAACCUGCCUUAUACAGGGGGAUAACAGUCAGAAAUGGCUGCUAAUACCGCAUAAGCGCACAGAGCUGCAUGGCUCAGUGUGAAAAACUCCGGUGGUAUAAGAUGGACCCGCGUUGGAUUAGCUAGUUGGUGGGGUAACGGCCCACCAAGGCGACGAUCCAUAGCCGGCCUGAGAGGGUGAACGGCCACAUUGGGACUGAGACACGGCCCAGACUCCUACGGGAGGCAGCAGUGGGGAAUAUUGCACAAUGGGGGAAACCCUGAUGCAGCGACGCCGCGUGAAGGAAGAAGUAUCUCGGUAUGUAAACUUCUAUCAGCAGGGAAGAUAGUGACGGUACCUGACUAAGAAGCCCCGGCUAACUACGUGCCAGCAGCCGCGGUAAUACGUAGGGGGCAAGCGUUAUCCGGAUUUACUGGGUGUAAAGGGAGCGUAGACGGUGUGGCAAGUCUGAUGUGAAAGGCAUGGGCUCAACCUGUGGACUGCAUUGGAAACUGUCAUACUUGAGUGCCGGAGGGGUAAGCGGAAUUCCUAGUGUAGCGGUGAAAUGCGUAGAUAUUAGGAGGAACACCAGUGGCGAAGGCGGCU
Molecule: ribosomal RNA, 697 nt
Filed under: uncultured Lachnospiraceae bacterium
Lineage: Bacteria; Bacillati; Bacillota; Clostridia; Lachnospirales; Lachnospiraceae
Description: bacterial SSU rRNA
Rfam family: Bacterial small subunit ribosomal RNA
Source: RNAcentral